This 77-nucleotide transfer RNA is filed under the name Vitis riparia (riverbank grape). Its description in RNAcentral is "partial tRNA-Leu". It matches the Rfam family "tRNA", at positions 11 to 71 of the family's 71-position model. From Rfam's summary of the family: Transfer RNA (tRNA) molecules are approximately 80 nucleotides in length. Their secondary structure includes four short double-helical elements and three loops (D, anti-codon, and T loops). Further hydrogen bonds mediate the characteristic L-shaped molecular structure. tRNAs have two regions of fundamental functional importance: the anti-codon, which is responsible for specific mRNA codon recognition, and the 3' end, to which the tRNAs corresponding amino acid is attached (by aminoacyl-tRNA synthetases). tRNAs cope with the degeneracy of the genetic code in two manners: having more than one tRNA (with a specific anti-codon) for a particular amino acid; and 'wobble' base-pairing, i.e. permitting non-standard base-pairing at the 3rd anti-codon position. The record is from RNAcentral. RNAcentral also lists the same sequence under 4 other names. Lineage: Eukaryota; Viridiplantae; Streptophyta; Magnoliopsida; Vitales; Vitaceae.
CGAAAUUGGUAGACGCUACGGACUUAAAAAAUCCGUCGACUUUAAAAAUCGUGAGGGUUCAAGUCCCUCUAUCCCCA